UAAGGGCGCACGGUGGAUGCCUUGGCACUAGGAGCCGAUGAAGGACGGGACUAACACCGAUAUGCUUUGGGGAGCUGUACGUAAGCUAUGAUCCAGAGAUUUCCGAAUGGGGGAACCCAACAUCUUUAAUAGGAUGUUACGAUUGUGUGAAUACAUAGCACAUUCGAGGUAGACGCAGAGAACUGAAACAUCUAAGUACCUGCAGGAAGAGAAAGAAAAUUCGAUUCCCUGAGUAGCGGCGAGCGAAACGGGAAAAGCCCAAACCAGCAAGCUUGCUUGUUGGGGUUGUAGGACUCCAAUAUGGUAGUUCUUUCAGAUAGUCGAAUGACUUGGAAAAGUCAGUCAAAGAGGGUAAAAACCCCGUAGACGAAAUGUGGAAGACACCUAGGAGGAUCCUGAGUACGGCGGAACACGAGAAAUUCCGUCGGAAUCCGGGAGGACCAUCUCCCAAGGCUAAAUACUCCCUAGUGACCGAUAGUGAACCAGUACCGUGAGGGAAAGGUGAAAAGCACCCCGGAAGGGGAGUGAAAUAGAACCUGAAACCGUGUGCCUACAACAAGUCAAAGCCCGUUAAUGGGUGAUGGCGUGCCUUUUGUAGAAUGAACCGGCGAGUUACGAUUGCAUGCGAGGUUAAGUUGAAGAGACGGAGCCGCAGCGAAAGCGAGUCUGAAUAGGGCGUUUGAGUAUGUAGUCGUAGACCCGAAACCAUGUGAUCUACCCAUGUCCAGGUUGAAGGUGCGGUAAAACGCACUGGAGGACCGAACCCACGUACGUUGAAAAGUGCGGGGAUGAGGUGUGGGUAGCGGAGAAAUUCCAAACGAACUUGGAGAUAGCUGGUUCUCUCCGAAAUAGCUUUAGGGCUAGCCUCGGAAUUGAGAAU
This 880-nucleotide ribosomal RNA is filed under the name Enterococcus faecium. RNAcentral describes it as "partial 23S ribosomal RNA". It matches the Rfam family "Bacterial large subunit ribosomal RNA", at positions 12 to 895 of the family's 2925-position model. The record is from RNAcentral. Lineage: Bacteria; Bacillati; Bacillota; Bacilli; Lactobacillales; Enterococcaceae.